GAUGAACGCUGGCGGCGUGCCUAAUACAUGCCAGUCGAGCGAACAGACGAGGAGCUUGCUCCUCUGACGUUAGCGGCGGACGGGUGAGUAACACGUGGAUAACCUACCUAUAAGACUGGGAUAACUUCGGGAAACCGGAGCUAAUACCGGAUAAUAUAUUGAACCGCAUGGUUCAAUAGUGAAAGACGGUUUUGCUGUCACUUAUAGAUGGAUCCGCGCCGCAUUAGCUAGUUAGUAAGGUAACGGCUUACCAAGGCGACGAUGCGUAGCCGACCUGAGAGGGUGAUCGGCCACACUGGAACUGAGACACGGUCCAGACUCCUACGGGAGGCAGCAGUAGGGAAUCUUCCGCAAUGGGCGAAAGCCUGACGGAGCAACGCCGCGUGAGUGAUGAAGGUCUUCGGAUCGUAAAACUCUGUUAUUAGGGAAGAACAAAUGUGUAAGUAACUAUGCACGUCUUGACGGUACCUAAUCAGAAAGCCACGGCUAACUACGUG
Molecule: ribosomal RNA, 497 nt
Filed under: uncultured bacterium
Lineage: Bacteria
Description: partial 16S ribosomal RNA
Rfam family: Bacterial small subunit ribosomal RNA
Source: RNAcentral